RNAcentral lists this ribosomal RNA (255 nucleotides) under uncultured Staphylococcus sp. RNAcentral describes it as "partial 16S ribosomal RNA". It matches the Rfam family "Bacterial small subunit ribosomal RNA", at positions 105 to 356 of the family's 1533-position model. The record is from RNAcentral. Lineage: Bacteria; Bacillati; Bacillota; Bacilli; Caryophanales; Staphylococcaceae.
GGUAGUAACACGUGGAUAACCUACCUAUAAGACUGGGAUAACUUCGGGAAACCGGAGCUAAUACCGGAUAAUAUAUUGAACCGCAUGGUUCAAUGUGAAAGACGGUUUUGCUGUCACUUAUAGAUGGAUCCGCGCCGCAUUAGCUAGUUGGUAAGGUAACGGCUUACCAAGGCAACGAUGCGUAGCCGACCUGAGAGGGUGAUCGGCCACACUGGAACUGAGACACGGUCCAGACUCCUACGGGAGGCAGCAGNG